Molecule: non-coding RNA, 73 nt
Organism: Bos taurus (domestic cattle)
Lineage: Eukaryota; Metazoa; Chordata; Mammalia; Artiodactyla; Bovidae
Source: Rfam
UUCCUGGUGGUCCAGUGGUUAAGACUCCACACUUCCAAUGCAGAGGACAUGGGUUCAAUCCGUGGCCAGGAAA